This 407-nucleotide ribosomal RNA is filed under the name uncultured bacterium. RNAcentral describes it as "partial 16S ribosomal RNA". It matches the Rfam family "Bacterial small subunit ribosomal RNA", at positions 28 to 526 of the family's 1533-position model. The record is from RNAcentral.
GACGAACGCUGGCUGCGUGCCUAAUCCAUGCCAGUAGGACGGAGCGGCGGACGGGUGAGUAAUACCUAGGAAUCUGCCUGGUAGUGGGGGAUAACGUCCGGAAACGGGCGCUAAUACCGCAUACUAUCAGAUGAGCCUAGGUCGGAUUAGCUAGUUGGUGGGGUAAAUGCCUACCAAGGCGACGAUCCGUACCGGGUCUGAGAGGAUGAUCAGUCACACUGGAACUGAGACACGGUCCAGACUCGUACGUGAGGCAGCAGUGGGGAAUAUUGGACAAUGGGCGAAAGCCUGAUCCAGCCAUGCCGCGUGUGUGAAGAAGGUCUUCGGAUUGUAAAGCACUUGAAGUUGGGAGGCGUUACCAACAGAAUAAGCACCGGCUAACUUCGUGCCAGCAGCCGCGGUAAUAC